UCUGCAGUCAGUAUAAAUUUUGAAAUGUUCCCUUUAAAAUGAAGAAUGGUUUUGUCCAGAUGGAUAAGUCUAUUUAAGAUUGUAACAAAAAGGAAAAUAAUCAGUUGUAGUUUAUUGAUUAAAAUCUGUAGGAGUGAUUUCCCUUGGCUGUUUUAUUAGUUAGUCAUGCUUGUAAUUGUUCCCGCCGUUUUCUGAGUUGUCAUCAGUUUUUGGUAGAAGGCAGACAUGUUUUUCAGUUGUUUAUAGUUAGUUAUUACUUCUUAAAAAGGAUUGUGGAUUUUGGAUUGAGUAUGUUGCAGUAACAUCACAAGAUUGAGAGGAUUUUUGUAUGAGUGUCAUUUGAGUCCAAUCCACAAUUGGGCUUGAUCUUCUUGAUACUGAUUAUAUAUUGAUUGGUGCUUAAACAAGUGCUUGAUGUGAAGUUGUGAUGUGACUAACCUCUUGGGUUAAAUCUACUUGAAGUUUUAUAUUA
Long non-coding RNA from Ruditapes philippinarum (Manila clam), 472 nucleotides. RefSeq lists it as uncharacterized. The transcript has 3 exons. The record is from RefSeq and is a predicted model, not a curated record. NCBI's taxonomy places the organism in Eukaryota, Metazoa, Mollusca, Bivalvia, Venerida, Veneridae.